UCAACGGAGAGUUUGAUCCUGGCUCAGGACGAACGCUGGCGGCGUGCUUAACACAUGCAAGUCGAGCGGUAAGGCCCCUUCGGGGGUACACGAGCGGCGAACGGGUGAGUAACACGUGAGCAACCUGCCCUUCACAUCGGGAUAACCCCGGGAAACCGAGGCUAAUACCGGAUAUGACCACCGACGGCAUCGUGGGUGGUGGAAAGUUCCGGCGGUGAGGGAUGGGCGCGCGGCCUAUCAGCUUGUUGGUGGGGUAGUGGCCCACCAAGGCGACGACGGGUAGCCGGCCUGAGAGGGUGACCGGCCACACUGGGACUGAGACACGGCCCAGACUCCUACGGGAGGCAGCAGUGGGGAAUAUUGGACAAUGGGCGAAAGCCUGAU
Molecule: ribosomal RNA, 384 nt
Filed under: Actinomycetota bacterium
Lineage: Bacteria; Bacillati; Actinomycetota
Description: bacterial SSU rRNA
Rfam family: Bacterial small subunit ribosomal RNA
Source: RNAcentral